UAGUAAUGGCAGGUCAGCAUACUGCCGUGAAUACGUUCCCGGGCCUUGUACACACCGCCCGUCACACCAUGAGAGUUGGGAAUACCCGAAGCCUGUGAGCUAACGUUAAGAGGCAGCAGUCGAAGGUAGAAUCAAUGAUUGGGGUGAAGUCGUAACAAGGUAGC
Molecule: ribosomal RNA, 164 nt
Filed under: uncultured bacterium
Lineage: Bacteria
Description: partial 16S ribosomal RNA
Rfam family: Bacterial small subunit ribosomal RNA
Source: RNAcentral